GACGAACCGUGCGAACGUUGUUCGGAAUCACUGGGCUUAAAGGGCGCGUAGGCGGGCCGCCAAGUCCGCGGUGAAAUCCCCCGGCUCAACCGGGGAACUGCCGCGGAUACUGGAGGUCUCGAGGGAGGUAGGGGCAUGCGGAACUGCGGGUGGAGCGGUGAAAUGCGUUGAUAUCCGCAGGAACUCCGGUGGCGAAGGCGACAUCCUGGACCGGUAUUGACGCUGAGGCGCGAAAGCCAGGGGAGCAAACGGG
This 253-nucleotide ribosomal RNA is filed under the name uncultured bacterium. RNAcentral describes it as "partial 16S ribosomal RNA". It matches the Rfam family "Bacterial small subunit ribosomal RNA", at positions 524 to 776 of the family's 1533-position model. The record is from RNAcentral.